AACGAACGCUGGCGGCAUGCCUAACACAUGCAAGUCGAACGAGACCUUCGGGUCUAGUGGCGCACGGGUGCGUAACGCGUGGGAACCUGCCCUUAGGUUCGGAAUAACUCCCCGAAAGGGGUGCUAAUACCGGAUAAUGUCUUCGGACCACAGAUUUAUCGCCUUUGGAUGGGCCCGCGUUGGAUUAGCUAGUUGGUAGGGUAACAGCCUACCAAGGCGACGAUCCAUAGCUGGUCUGAGAGGAUGAGCAGCCACACUGGGACUGAGACACGGCCCAGACUCCUACGGGAGGCAGCAGUGGGGAAUAUUGGACAGUGGGCGAAAGCCUGAUCCAGCAAUGCCGCGUGAGUGAUGAAGGCCGUAGGGUUGUAAAGCUCUUUUACCCGGGAUGAUAAUGACAGUACCGGGAGAAUAAGCUCCGGCUAACUCCGUG
Molecule: ribosomal RNA, 433 nt
Filed under: uncultured bacterium
Lineage: Bacteria
Description: partial 16S ribosomal RNA
Rfam family: Bacterial small subunit ribosomal RNA
Source: RNAcentral